GACGAACGCUGGCGGCGUGCUUAACACAUGCAAGUCGAACGGUAAGGCCCUUCGGGGUACACGAGUGGCGAACGGGUGAGUAACACGUGGGUGAUCUGCCCUGCACUUCGGGAUAAGCCUGGGAAACUGGGUCUAAUACCGGAUAGGACCACUGCCUGCAUGGGUGGUGGUGGAAAGCUUUUGCGGUGUGGGAUGGGCCCGCGGCCUAUCAGCUUGUUGGUGGGGUGAUGGCCUACCAAGGCGACGACGGGUAGCCGGCCUGAGAGGGUGACCGGCCACACUGGGACUGAGAUACGGCCCAGACUCCUACGGGGAGCAGCAGUGGGGAAUAUUGCACAAUGGGUGCAAGCCUGAUGCAGCGACGCCGCGUGAGGGAUGACGGCCUUCGGGUUGUAAACCUCUUUCAGCACCGACGAAGCGCAAGUGACGGUAGGUGCAGAAGAAGGACCGGCCAACUACGUGCCAGCCGCCGCGGUAA
This 478-nucleotide ribosomal RNA is filed under the name uncultured bacterium. RNAcentral describes it as "partial 16S ribosomal RNA". It matches the Rfam family "Bacterial small subunit ribosomal RNA", at positions 28 to 523 of the family's 1533-position model. The record is from RNAcentral.